This 254-nucleotide ribosomal RNA is filed under the name uncultured bacterium. RNAcentral describes it as "partial 16S ribosomal RNA". It matches the Rfam family "Bacterial small subunit ribosomal RNA", at positions 524 to 776 of the family's 1533-position model. The record is from RNAcentral.
UACGUAGGCAGCAAGCGUUGUUCGGAUUUACUGGGCGUAAAGGGCGCGUAGGCGGCAGAUCAAGUCAGUUGUGAAAUCUCUGAGCUUAACUCAGAACUGUCAACUGAUACUGCUCUGCUAGAGUGCGGAAGGGGCAAUCGGAAUUCUUGGUGUAGCGGUGAAAUGCGUAGAUAUCAAGAGGAACACCUGAGGUGAAGACGGGUUGCUGGGCCGACACUGACGCUGAGUGCGCGAAAGCCAGGGGAGCAAACGGG